This 285-nucleotide long non-coding RNA is filed under the name Sorghum bicolor (sorghum). RNAcentral describes it as "long non-coding RNA (SBIC_LNC012523)". Lineage: Eukaryota; Viridiplantae; Streptophyta; Magnoliopsida; Poales; Poaceae. The record is from RNAcentral.
GCCCCCUUCUCAUCUCUUUCUGUGGUUAGUGCUCUGAUGUCCCGAUAUAGAUAAUCUUGAAGUAAUUCUUGAUUCUUAGAUCAACUAGAGAACUCUCAGGAAACUUCCUCUCUUCCCAUUAAAAAUAAUUAUAUAGUUAUCCUUGGGCGAUCUUUGAUCUUAAUUAGUACACUCACGUUCUCUGUGGAAAAUCGAUACUCUGGAAUACUCCCGGGUGAAAGCUACAUCGGUAUCCGUGCGCUUGCGGAUUUUUUCUGUUUGCGUUUAAAAUACCCAACACCCGCC